AGAGUUUGAUUAUGGCUCAGGAUGAACGCUAGCGGCAGGCCUAAUACAUGCAAGUCGAACGGGUUGUUGUAGCAAUACAACGAUCAGUGGCGCACGGGUGCGUAACGCGUAUGCAACCUACCUUAAACUGGGGGAUAGCCUUCCGAAAGGGAGAUUAGUACCGCAUAAGAUCACACGAGGGCAUCUGAGAGUGAUUAAAGAUUUAUUGGUUUAAGAUGGGCAUGCAUGCCAUUAGCUAGUUGGUAGGGUAACGGCCUACCAAGGCUACGAUGGCUAGGGGUUCUGAGAGGAUGAUCCCCCACACUGGUACUGAGAUACGGACCAGACUCCUACGGGAGGCAGCAGUAGGGAAUAUUGGGCAAUGGACGGAAGUCUGACCCAGCCAUGCCGCGUGCAGGAUGAAGGCCUUCUGGGUUGUAAACUGCUUUUAUCUAGGAAGAAAACGCCCAUGCGUGGGAAACUGACGGUACUAGAUGAAUAAGCACCGGCUAACUCCGUGCCAGCAGCCGCGGUAA
This 515-nucleotide ribosomal RNA is filed under the name uncultured Adhaeribacter sp. Its description in RNAcentral is "bacterial SSU rRNA". It matches the Rfam family "Bacterial small subunit ribosomal RNA", at positions 8 to 523 of the family's 1533-position model. The record is from RNAcentral. Lineage: Bacteria; Pseudomonadati; Bacteroidota; Cytophagia; Cytophagales; Hymenobacteraceae.